Molecule: ribosomal RNA, 373 nt
Filed under: fungal sp. FLS-2010
Lineage: Eukaryota; Fungi
Description: eukaryotic LSU rRNA
Rfam family: 5.8S ribosomal RNA (bases 77-230)
Source: RNAcentral
CCGCCGGCGGCCCACCAAACUCUCUGUUUUUAGAACGUACCUCUUCUGAGAGACUUAUAAACAAAAAAUGAAUCAAAACUUUCAACAACGGAUCUCUUGGUUCUGGCAUCGAUGAAGAACGCAGCGAAAUGCGAUAAGUAAUGUGAAUUGCAGAAUUCAGUGAAUCAUCGAAUCUUUGAACGCACAUUGCGCCCGCUGGAAUUCCAGCGGGCAUGCCUGUUCGAGCGUCAUUUCAACCCUCAAGCCUGGCUUGGUGUUGGGGCGCUACCCGUCAAACGGUAGGCCCUCAAAUUCAGUGGCGGGCUCGCUAAGAUUCUGAGCGUAGUAGUUUUAAAUCACCUCGCUCCGGAAGGAUUAGCGGUGCGCUUGCCGU